This 369-nucleotide ribosomal RNA is filed under the name uncultured marine eukaryote. Its description in RNAcentral is "bacterial SSU rRNA". It matches the Rfam family "Eukaryotic small subunit ribosomal RNA", at positions 618 to 999 of the family's 1831-position model. The record is from RNAcentral.
GUUAAAAAGCUCGUAGUUGGAUUUCUGGUGGCGAGAGUCCAUACGCCCGCGCGUUUUGGAUGCUCUCCACCAUCCUUCUGUUAACUAGGAUUGGACUUCACUGGCUGUCCUAGAGCCCAGAUAUUUUACCUUGAGAAAAUUAGAGUGUUUCAGGCAGGCUUGCGCCCGGAUACAUUAGCAUGGAAUAAUGGAAUAGGACUUUUACCUCUUCUGUUGGUCUAAGGGGUCGAAGUAAUGAUUAAUAGGGAUAGUUGGGGGCAUUAGUACUUAACUGUCAGAGGUGAAAUUCUUGGAUUUGUUAAAGACUAACUUAUGCGAAAGCAUUUGCCAAGGAUGUUUUCAUUAAUCAAGAACGAAAGUUAGGGGAUC